This 617-nucleotide long non-coding RNA is filed under the name Marmota monax (woodchuck). Lineage: Eukaryota; Metazoa; Chordata; Mammalia; Rodentia; Sciuridae. The record is from RNAcentral.
CCUUUGAUGGUUAAAGUGCUGAAGGCCUGGCAGGCCCUAUGGGAACUGGACCUGCUCCACCUGUGGGUCCCAGGACAAGGGGCCUUCUCUGCUGCCUUCUGGCCUCUAGAGUCUCCCUGACUCAUUCACACCCCAGAUGCCGGGCAUACGCCUUGUGCUUGUGCAGCGUCCCAUGUGUACUAGUUCAUUUCAUUUUAACAACUAGUUGGGUUUCAUACUGGUCAUUUACCUGUUUUACUGACAGGAAAACUGAGUUACCUAACUAAACAAUUUGCCCCUAAUCCUACAGCUAAUAAGUGGGAGCCACAAGUCAAACCAGGCACCUACUUCCACAGCCUGCACUUUUAACCAGUGUACCACACUAUCAAAAGAUACCUGCUAAUGUCCCCAUGACUGACUUGCCAGGCCACCAACUCCAGCUCCUUCUCUGUUACCUUUACAGUCAGCUUCUGACUACCUUGCUUUCUUCCCCCCAUUUUUUAAAAUUGUUGAUGGACCUUUAUUUUAUUCAUUUAUUUAUAUGCGCUGCCAAGAAUGGAACCCAGUGCUCACACAUGCUAGGCAAAUGCUUUACCACUGAGCCACAACCCCAGCCCUACCUUAGCUUUUUAAUGCCC